UUAAGUUAUUAAGGGCGCACGGUGGAUGCCUUGGCACUAGAAGCCGAUGAAGGACGUUACUAACGACGAUAUGCUUUGGGGAGCUGUAAGUAAGCUUUGAUCCAGAGAUUUCCGAAUGGGGAAACCCAGCAUGAGUUAUGUCAUGUUAUCGAUAUGUGAAUACAUAGCAUAUCAGAAGGCACACCCGGAGAACUGAAACAUCUUAGUACCCGGAGGAAGAGAAAGAAAAUUCGAUUCCCUUAGUAGCGGCGAGCGAAACGGGAAGAGCCCAAACCAACAAGCUUGCUUGUUGGGGUUGUAGGACACUCUAUACGGAGUUACAAAGGACGACAUUAGACGAAUCAUCUGGAAAGAUGAAUCAAAGAAGGUAAUAAUCCUGUAGUCGAAAAUGUUGUCUCUCUUGAGUGGAUCCUGAGUACGACGGAGCACGUGAAAUUCCGUCGGAAUCUGGGAGGACCAUCUCCUAAGGCUAAAUACUCUCUAGUGACCGAUAGUGAACCAGUACCGUGAGGGAAAGGUGAAAAGCACCCCGGAAGGAGAGUGAAAUAGAACCUGAAACCGUGUGCUUACAAGUAGUCAGAGCCCGUUAAUGGGUGAUGGCGUGCCUUUUGUAGAAUGAACCGGCGAGUUACGAUUUGAUGCAAGGUUAAGCAGUAAAUGUGGAGCCGUAGCGAAAGCGAGUCUGAAUAGGGCGUUUAGUAUUUGGUCGUAGACCCGAAACCAGGUGAUCUACCCUUGGUCAGGUUGAAGUUCAGGUAACACUGAAUGGAGGACCGAACCGACUUACGUUGAAAAGUGAGCGGAUGAACUGAGGGUAGCGGAGAAAUUCCAAUCGAACCUGGAGAUAGCUGGUUCUCUCCGAAAUAGCUUUAGGGAUAGCCUCAAGUGAUGAUUAUUGGAGGUAGAGCACUGUUUGGACGAGGGGCCCCUCUCGGGUUACCGAAUUCAGACAAACUCCGAAUGCCAAUUAAUUUAACUUGGGAGUCAGAACAUGGGUGAUAAGGUCCGUGUUCGAAAGGGAAACAGCCCAGACCACCAGCUAAGGUCCCAAAAUAUAUGUUAAGUGGAAAAGGAUGUGGCGUUGCCCAGACAACUAGGAUGUUGGCUUAGAAGCAGCCAUCAUUUAAAGAGUGCGUAAUAGCUCACUAGUCGAGUGACACUGCGCCGAAAAUGUACCGGGGCUAAACAUAUUACCGAAGCUGUGGAUUGUCCUUUGGACAAUGGUAGGAGAGCGUUCUAAGGGCGUUGAAGCAUGAUCGUAAGGACAUGUGGAGCGCUUAGAAGUGAGAAUGCCGGUGUGAGUAGCGAAAGACGGGUGAGAAUCCCGUCCACCGAUUGACUAAGGUUUCCAGAGGAAGGCUCGUCCGCUCUGGGUUAGUCGGGUCCUAAGCUGAGGCCGACAGGCGUAGGCGAUGGAUAACAGGUUGAUAUUCCUGUACCACCUAUAAUCGUUUUAAUCGAUGGGGGGACGCAGUAGGAUAGGCGAAGCGUGCGAUUGGAUUGCACGUCUAAGCAGUAAGGCUGAGUAUUAGGCAAAUCCGGUACUCGUUAAGGCUGAGCUGUGAUGGGGAGAAGACAUUGAGUCUUCGAGUCGUUGAUUUCACACUGCCGAGAAAAGCCUCUAGAUAGAAAAUAGGUGCCCGUACCGCAAACCGACACAGGUAGUCAAGAUGAGAAUUCUAAGGUGAGCGAGCGAACUCUCGUUAAGGAACUCGGCAAAAUGACCCCGUAACUUCGGGAGAAGGGGUGCUCUUUAGGGUUAACGCCCAGAAGAGCCGCAGUGAAUAGGCCCAAGCGACUGUUUAUCAAAAACACAGGUCUCUGCUAAACCGUAAGGUGAUGUAUAGGGGCUGACGCCUGCCCGGUGCUGGAAGGUUAAGAGGAGUGGUUAGCUUCUGCGAAGCUACGAAUCGAAGCCCCAGUAAACGGCGGCCGUAACUAUAACGGUCCUAAGGUAGCGAAAUUCCUUGUCGGGUAAGUUCCGACCCGCACGAAAGGCGUAACGAUUUGGGCACUGUCUCAACGAGAGACUCGGUGAAAUCAUAGUACCUGUGAAGAUGCAGGUUACCCGCGACAGGACGGAAAGACCCCGUGGAGCUUUACUGUAGCCUGAUAUUGAAAUUCGGCACAGCUUGUACAGGAUAGGUAGGAGCCUUUGAAACGUGAGCGCUAGCUUACGUGGAGGCGCUGGUGGGAUACUACCCUAGCUGUGUUGGCUUUCUAACCCGCACCACUUAUCGUGGUGGGAGACAGUGUCAAGCGGGCAGUUUGACUGGGGCGGUCGCCUCCUAAAAGGUAACGGAGGCGCUCAAAGGUUCCCUCAGAAUGGUUGGAAAUCAUUCAUAGAGUGUAAAGGCAUAAGGGAGCUUGACUGCGAGACCUACAAGUCGAGCAGGGUCGAAAGACGGACUUAGUGAUCCGGUGGUUCCGCAUGGAAGGGCCAUCGCUCAACGGAUAAAAGCUACCCCGGGGAUAACAGGCUUAUCUCCCCCAAGAGUUCACAUCGACGGGGAGGUUUGGCACCUCGAUGUCGGCUCAUCGCAUCCUGGGGCUGUAGUCGGUCCCAAGGGUUGGGCUGUUCGCCCAUUAAAGCGGUACGCGAGCUGGGUUCAGAACGUCGUGAGACAGUUCGGUCCCUAUCCGUCGUGGGCGUAGGAAAUUUGAGAGGAGCUGUCCUUAGUACGAGAGGACCGGGAUGGACAUACCUCUGGUGUACCAGUUGUCGUGCCAACGGCAUAGCUGGGUAGCUAUGUGUGGACGGGAUAAGUGCUGAAAGCAUCUAAGCAUGAAGCCCCCCUCAAGAUGAGAUUUCCCAACUUCGGUUAUAAGAUCCCUCAAAGAUGAUGAGGUUAAUAGGUUCGAGGUGGAAGCAUGGUGACAUGUGGAGCUGACGAAUACUAAUCGAUCGAAGACUUAAUCAA
Molecule: ribosomal RNA, 2921 nt
Filed under: Staphylococcus aureus DAR5810
Lineage: Bacteria; Bacillati; Bacillota; Bacilli; Caryophanales; Staphylococcaceae
Also listed under: 1 other name
Description: bacterial LSU rRNA
Rfam family: Bacterial large subunit ribosomal RNA
Source: RNAcentral